This is a non-coding RNA of Ictidomys tridecemlineatus (thirteen-lined ground squirrel), 1321 nucleotides long. NCBI's taxonomy places the organism in Eukaryota, Metazoa, Chordata, Mammalia, Rodentia, Sciuridae. The record is from RefSeq and is a predicted model, not a curated record.
UUCAAGGAAUAGGAAAUAGACUCCACCUGGAUGGGAGAAGUGGUAUGUGACAGGGAAGGAAAGAAUUGGUGGCAGGCAUCUUCAAAACCAUCUACCACCUCCUCUACAUUUUUAGGUAUAUUAUUCCUCUAUGUAACUAGUCAGAAAUAUUUCUUGCCAAUUUGUCAUUUGCAUUUUGACUUUGCCUAUGUUUCUGGCUCUGUGUGUCUAUGUGCAUGCAUAUGCUUAUCAUGUAGGAUUUUUAAAACAAUUUAAUUUGAAGCAGAUAUAGACUCACAGAGGUUUCAAGGAUAUUAUAGAAAAGUUUCCAUGUGCCCUUCAGUUUCUCCCAAUGAUAGCAUCUUAUAUAACUACCGUACACCAUCUAAACCUGCAAAAUCAACAUUGGAACAAUGUGUAUCCUUUCAUCACAUAUGUGAAUCCACGCAACCACCACGAUAAUCACAAUUUAGAACUGUUCCAUCGGUAUGGAGAUCUCCCUCUGGAACUAUCCCAUUAUAGUCACACCCUCCUACCACCCCUAAUCCAUGGAAACCACAAAUCUGUUUUCCAUCUCUUUAGAGGGUUGAAUAGUGGCUUCCAAGAAGAUAUGUCAAAUGUCUAACCUCCAGAAUCUGCAAAUAUGAUCUUAUUUAUCACCUUAGUAGCUUUUCUAUGGCUAUUGAGACAGAUACAGAGACAGAGACAGAGACAGAGACAGAGACAGAGACAGAGAGAGGAGAGAGAGAGAGAAAAAAUCAGAGACUAAGCAACUUUUAAAGAACAGAAGUUUAUGUUGACUCAUGGUUCUGGAGACUAAGUCCAAGUUUGGGCCUGGAUUCUAUUCCAUACCAUCUGCCGAGGGCCUUGUGUUACUUCAACUCAUACUGGAAAGCAGAAAGACAGGUGUUUCUUCCUGCCACAACAAAGUGUGAAGAAUACCGUCUUCCUGGCAUCUGGACUGUCUCUCCCUCUGCUGCACAUCCAGCCUGGCCUCUUAGGUACUUGCUCUGGACUCACUCUGCAUUAGCUCAUUGGAAACUAUGAACUGAAGCUUCCAUGGUGCCCCGUCUCCUGGUUCCUGUUCUCUUCAUGAUGUCCCCAGAGUUUGGCCCUUCUCUCCUCUCUCUCUCUCAUAAUUGUCAUUCUCUUCUUGGGUAGUCUCACUCAGUCCCAAGGCCUUGCAUCUUACCCAAAUUCUAAAGACCUCCAGGCCCUAUUUCCUAUCCAAAUCCCUCUCUCGUCCAUGAUUGAGCCGCUGAAAUUUUACUGUAUUUCUCCCAGGGGGAAUUACUAGGAGUUUGAGACAAAAUUAAAACUUUUUUUUUUCAUCACCCUCUAA